CAUCGUGUAGUUUAAUGGUAAAACGCCCUCACAAUACGAGGUAGAUGCUUGUUCGAUUCAAGCCACGUUAUGCA
RNAcentral lists this transfer RNA (74 nucleotides) under Caudoviricetes sp. RNAcentral's name for it is "tRNA-OTHER". It matches the Rfam family "tRNA". From Rfam's summary of the family: Transfer RNA (tRNA) molecules are approximately 80 nucleotides in length. Their secondary structure includes four short double-helical elements and three loops (D, anti-codon, and T loops). The record is from RNAcentral. Lineage: Duplodnaviria; Heunggongvirae; Uroviricota; Caudoviricetes.